UUGACCUCAAAUCGGGUGAGACUACCCGCUGAACUUAAC
Molecule: ribosomal RNA, 39 nt
Filed under: Russula mansehraensis
Lineage: Eukaryota; Fungi; Basidiomycota; Agaricomycetes; Russulales; Russulaceae
Description: partial 28S ribosomal RNA
Source: RNAcentral